RNAcentral lists this ribosomal RNA (591 nucleotides) under Cassiope dendrotricha. RNAcentral describes it as "eukaryotic LSU rRNA". The stretch from base 240 to 395 matches the Rfam family "5.8S ribosomal RNA". The record is from RNAcentral. Lineage: Eukaryota; Viridiplantae; Streptophyta; Magnoliopsida; Ericales; Ericaceae.
AAGCAGAAACCCGCGAACUUGUCUAUACAUCUGGGAACGUGUGGGUUAGGCCUAGUUGUCUUACCUUCCACUUUCCCCUCGCGAGUAUAUGUGCACGGGCCCUUUGGGCACGUGUCCCAUCUACUUGUCGAACAACGAACUCCGGCGCAAAUCGCGCCAAGGACGCUUGAACAAGUUUGUGCACGCCCCCUGCCCGUUUUCGGGUGGUGCUGGCGUACACUUCUUUCGAAAAACAAAACGACUCUCGGCAACGGAUAUCUCGGCUCUUGCAUCGAUGAAGAACGUAGCGAAAUGCGAUACUUGGUGUGAAUUGCAGAAUCCCGUGAACCAUCGAGUCUUUGAACGCAAGUUGCGCCUGAAGCCAUUAGGCUGAAGGCACGUCUGCCUGGGCGUCACGCAUCGCGUCACCCACUCACCCCAUGCCUCCUCUAUGGCCAGGUUAAGUGCGUGGGUGGAUAUUGGCCCCCCGUACACACUCGUGCACGGUCGGCCUAAAAGAAGGGUCCCCAAUGACGGACAUCACGACAAGUGGUGGUUGUCAAACCGUCGCGACACGCCGUGCAUGCCAUUCUUCGCUGGGGACUGCCUCGU